This 443-nucleotide ribosomal RNA is filed under the name Antiphrisson mongolicus eriopyx. RNAcentral's name for it is "partial small subunit ribosomal RNA". The record is from RNAcentral. Lineage: Eukaryota; Metazoa; Arthropoda; Insecta; Diptera; Asilidae.
UUUUUAAAACUAUAAGGGUGCCUAUUUUUAUUAAUUUAUUUCUUAAAUUUUGAUUUUUAAACUAGGAUUAGAUACCCUAUUAUUUUGAUACGUAAGUUUAUUAUGCCUAGGUAGUAAUAGUUAUGGUCUUGAAACUUAAAAAAUUUGGCGGUAUUUUAGUCUGUUCAGAGGAACUUGUUCUGUAAUCGAUAGUCCACGUUGGACCUUACUUGGCCUUGUAUUCAGUUUGUAUACCGCCGUUAUUGAGUAUUUUAUUAGAAUAAUAAUUUUCAAUUACUUUAAUUAAGGUUAAUAUCAGGUCAAGGUGCAGCUUAUGGCCGAGGUUGCAAUGAGUUACAAUAAAUUUAUUUAUAUGGAUAUUGGGUUUAAAUAUCUGAUUGAAGGUGGAUUUGAUGGUAAAAUUAUUUAGAAAGAUGAUUUGAUUCUGGCUCUAGAAUAUGUAC